Molecule: ribosomal RNA, 455 nt
Filed under: Campylobacter gracilis
Lineage: Bacteria; Pseudomonadati; Campylobacterota; Epsilonproteobacteria; Campylobacterales; Campylobacteraceae
Description: bacterial SSU rRNA
Rfam family: Bacterial small subunit ribosomal RNA
Source: RNAcentral
AGUGAACGCUGGCGGCGUGCCUAAUACAUGCAAGUCGAACGGAAUUUAAAAGAGCUUGCUCUUUUGAAUUUAGUGGCGCACGGGUGAGUAAUAUAUAGCUAAUCUGCCCCUUGCUGGAGGACAACAGUUAGAAAUGACUGCUAAUACUCCAUACUCCUUUUUACCAUAAGAUAAAUCGGGAAAGAAUUUCGGCAAGGGAUGAGACUAUAUCGUAUCAGCUAGUCGGUGGGGUAACGGCCUACCGAGGCUAUGACGCGUAACUGGUCUGAGAGGAUGAUCAGUCACAUUGGAACUGAGACACGGUCCAAACUCCUACGGGAGGCAGCAGUAGGGAAUAUUGCGCAAUGGGGGAAACCCUGACGCAGCAACGCCGCGUGGAGGAUGACACUUUUCGGAGCGUAAACUCCUUUUGUUAGGGAAGAAUAAUGACGGUACCUAACGAUAAGCACCGGUAA